ACGCUCGACACCUACGGGAGGCAGCAGUGGGGAAUAUUGCACAAUGGGGGAAACCCUGAUGCAGCGACGCCGCGUGAAGGAAGAAGUAUCUCGGUAUGUAAACUUCUAUCAGCAGGGAAGAAAUGACGGUACCUGACUAAGAAGCCCCGGCUAACUACGUGCCAGUAGCCGCGGUAAUCUGAGGCGGGCUGCAAGGC
This 197-nucleotide ribosomal RNA is filed under the name uncultured bacterium. RNAcentral describes it as "partial 16S ribosomal RNA". It matches the Rfam family "Bacterial small subunit ribosomal RNA", at positions 328 to 535 of the family's 1533-position model. The record is from RNAcentral.